Molecule: unclassified non-coding RNA, 622 nt
Filed under: Hevea brasiliensis (rubber tree)
Lineage: Eukaryota; Viridiplantae; Streptophyta; Magnoliopsida; Malpighiales; Euphorbiaceae
Source: RNAcentral
GCAUUACCAAACUGGUUCCGAACCCAUCUGGUAGAGAACCGGUGAAGCUAUUUUGAGUGAGGAAAAGCUGCUUCAAUUUCUUACAUUGAAGAAGAGAUGAAGGUACUGAAUCAUUGAAAGAAUUCUGUGAAAGAUCAAGGAUCCGCAGGUCCUUGAGGUUCCCUAUCUCGACAGGAACUGGCCCGAAAAAUGAAUUUCCUGAGAGGACCAAGCUUGUUAACCCUGUUGCGCUAAAGAGGUCAACCGGCAAGCUUCCAUAAAAGUAAUUAUUCUUGAGAUUAAGAUAGCGAAGAGAAGCGAGCCUCCCGGUGUCGAGAUAUAGGAAUCCAGAAAGUCUUUUAUCUGGAAUAUUGAGAAAAAUGACUCGUCCUUCUUUGCAUCGAACUCCAUACCACGAACACGGGUUGGUGUCUGACGAGUUCCAGUUAUCCAGACAACCGGCAGUGGAGUUCCCUAAGGAUUGUUUGAAGGAUAGAAGAGCAAGGCCUUCAUCAUUUAAAGAACUAGCAAGUGCAAUACAAUGGGAUAUGAAGAAAGCCAGCAAAGGCAACAUAUUUUGCACAAGAAAUUGCAAAGAAGAUUGAAAGCUGUGAGAGAAUCUCUGUAAGACUCUGGCUUUUCU